UGGGGAAUAUUGCACAAUGGGCGAAAGCCUGAUGCAGCAACGCCGCGUGAGUGAUGAAGGUCUUCGGAUUGUAAAGCUCUGUCUUUUGGGACGAUAAUGACGGUACCAAAGGAGGAAGCCACGGCUAACUACGUGCCAGCAGCCGCGGUAAUACGUAGGUGGCGAGCGUUGUCCGGAUUUACUGGGCGUAAAGGGUGCGUAGGCGGAUGUUUAAGUGAGAUGUGAAAUACCCGGGCUUAACUUGGGUGCUGCAUUUCAAACUGGAUAUCUAGAGUGCAGGAGAGGAGAAUGGAAUUCCUAGUGUAGCGGUGAAAUGCGUAGAGAUUAGGAAGAACACCAGUGGCGAAGGCGAUUCUCUGGACUGUAACUGACGCUGAGGCACGAAAGCGUGGGUAGCAAACAGGAUUAGAUAC
Molecule: ribosomal RNA, 413 nt
Filed under: uncultured bacterium
Lineage: Bacteria
Description: partial 16S ribosomal RNA
Rfam family: Bacterial small subunit ribosomal RNA
Source: RNAcentral